GGGCCCGCACAAGCGGUGGAUUAUGUGGAUUAAUUCGAUGCAACGCGAAAAACCUUACCUGGCCUUGACAUGUACCGAAUUUAGCAGAGAUGCUUUAGUGCUCGUAAGAGAACGGUAACACAGGUGCUGCAUGGCUGUCGUCAGCUCGUGUCGUGAGAUGUUGGGUUAAGUCCCGCAACGAGCGCAACCCUUGCCAUUAAUUGCCAUCAUUUAGUUGGGCACUUUAAUGGGACUGCCGGUGACAAACCGGAGGAAGGUGGGGAUGACGUCAAGUCCUCAUGGCCCUUAUGGCCAGGGCUUCACACGUAAUACAAUGGAUGGUACAGAGGGACGCCAACCCGCGAGGGGGAGCCAAUCCCAGAAAGCCAUUCGUAGUCCGGAUUGUUGUCUGCAACUCGACAACAUGAAGUCGGAAUCGCUAGUAAUCGCGGAU
Molecule: ribosomal RNA, 433 nt
Filed under: uncultured bacterium
Lineage: Bacteria
Description: bacterial SSU rRNA
Rfam family: Bacterial small subunit ribosomal RNA
Source: RNAcentral